Molecule: long non-coding RNA, 3610 nt
Organism: Oncorhynchus keta (chum salmon)
Lineage: Eukaryota; Metazoa; Chordata; Actinopteri; Salmoniformes; Salmonidae
Exons: 4
Source: RefSeq, a predicted model, not a curated record
GUAUAUUCAACUAUUCAAUUAUAUAUAGUCUUUGUUAGAAUCUUGAUAAAGCAGUUUUAGGAGGGAGGGCAUGUCAUUUUUCAUCCAACACAACAGUUUAUUGCCAUCUGAGAAUGGCCAAUCGAAACUACACCUGAUCUAUAUCAAAACUAGUUUCACACAUAGGCCUAUAAUAAUAGAUGAAGCCUGACCAAUCAAUGCUGUCUAGCUGGCUAAGUUCUUCUCCGUUAGACCUGCAUUUACAAUGCAUCCAAUUUCAGUUUGGGUAGUUGUUGGUUUAGGUUUCUGUAACUUUGUUGCAAGUACGGUCUGCAUGCAUAGGCGCAUAUUGCGUCAUGAUUGCAAAAUGUCCCAAUAACUUUUCCAACUCUCCCGUUAUCUGGUUUUAAUGUCGAUUUUUAGAAUGCCCUUCUAGACAAUCAGAAAUGAGUAUUCAAUAAUGCUGUGGUAUAACGCAUUUAUAAUUAGUACAUCAUUUAUUCAUAAUUUAUUCAUCAAUAUGCCAUUCACAUGUUUAAUAUGGGUCCUUAUCAACCAUUUACUAAUCAUUAGUUAAGUAUUUUUGCAUGGCCUCAUCUAAAGUGUGGGCUAUUUAUACUUAAUAAAUGUUUUGAGUGACCAGUGCAAUUUCUCACAAAAGGAUGGACAUGCCAUCGGUAGACAUUCCAGCAGUACCUGCGCUCAAAAUAGCCUAGAACAUAUCAAUGGUUGAAGAAUAAGCAGACCACACACAGGAUGCAACAAAACAAAUAUUUAAACUGCCGCAAGGACUUGACGAAGAGUUGUAAAAGUUAAUGUUUUACUGAUGUUUGUCAAGCUCGCUAAUGCAAACUAAUCAUAAACAGAUGUAGCCUACACACAACAGCUAGCCGGACCUCCCAGUUUCCCCUCUGGUAGAUUUGUUUUCCUUAAUUACUACUGAUAUGUAAUUGAUGUAGAAAUGUUACAUGUCUGAUUUGCAGGUAGAAAUGUUACAUGUCUGAUUUGCAGGUAGAAAUGUUACAUGUCUGAUUUGCAAGUAGAAAUGUUACAUGUCUGAUUUGCAAGUAGAAAUGUUACAUGUCUGAUUUGCAAGUAGAAAUGUUACAUGUCUGAUUUGCAGGUAGAAAUGUUACAUGUCUGAUUUGCAGGUAGAAAUGUUACAUGUCUGAUUUGCAAGUAGAAAUGUUACAUGUCUGAUUUGCAAGUAGAAAUGUUACAUGUCUGAUUUGCAAGUAGAAAUGUUACAUGUCUGAUUUGCAAGUAGAAAUGUUACAUGUCUGAUUUGCAGGUAGAAAUGUUACAUGUCUGAUUUGCAGGUAGAAAUGUUACAUGUCUGAUUUGCAGGUAGAAAUGUUACAUGUCUGAUUUGCAGGUAGAAAUGUUACAUGUCUGAUUUGCAAGUAGAAAUGUUACAUGUCUGAUUUGCAAGUAGAAAUGUUACAUGUCUGAUUUGCAGGUAGAAAUGUUACAUGUCUGAUUUGCAGGUAGAAAUGUUACAUGUCUGAUUUGCAGGUAGAAAUGUUACAUGUCUGAUUUGCAAGUAGAAAUGUUACAUGUCUGAUUUGCAAGUAGAAAUGUUACAUGUCUGAUUUGCAAGUAGAAAUGUUACAUGUCUGAUUUGCAGGUAGAAAUGUUACAUGUCUGAUUUGCAGGUAGAAAUGUUACAUGUCUGAUUUGCAGGUAGAAAUGUUACAUGUCUGAUUUGCAGGUAGAAAUGUUACAUGUCUGAUUUGCAAGUAGAAAUGUUACAUGUAUAACCUUUAAACGCUUCGAGUGCUUCAACCUUUCAACCGCAGACUAUUUUCACUCAUGACUGUGUGGCACCACCUUUACUGGGCCUUUUGACAGUUGCAACGUAAUAGGAUUGUUCAGCGAAAUUAGGACCUCAGAUACCCUAAGCAGUCUAUGGACUGAUCUUAAUCUCUCCUGGACAGAUUCUGCACCUCAACCUGAAGAAUCAGUUGUGACGGGAUGGAAUGCACAGGAUAACGAGCAGCAGUCGGGGUUUAACAAGUGACAUCAAUAAGGGAUCAUAGCUUUCAUCUGGAUUCACCUGGUCAGUCUAUUAAUGUUUAGUACACUGACCAUUUUAUUCCAAAACAGUCACAUCGUUGUGAUGUGAAACUUCAGACACUUUUUGCUGAUCAAAAUAAUGUUUUAGUUUGAAAAUGCUCACAUAAGCGCUUCUUGGUAGUGACUUUUCUACCAAAACCAAAGUGUGGAUUGUAGUCACUCCUUAGAGUGACUACAAUGACCCCCCCCCCCCAAAAAAAUGAUCUGCAUAAUUAAUACACCCCUGGGCUCCAUAUCCAGCUCUCUGAAAGCCUCUUGCUUGGUGUCACACAUUUUGUGGUUCAUGUUUGUCUCUUAAGUAUGAAAAAUUCAAUUGCACUGAUAUACAAUAUCAAAUCAAACUUUAUUUGUCACGUGCCGAAUACAAGUGUAGACCUUACUGUGAAAUGCUUACUUACAAGCCUUUAACCAACAGCGCAGUUCAAGAAGUGUUCAGAAGAUAUUUACCAAGUAAACUAAAGUAAAAAGUAACACAAUAAAAUAACAAUAACGAGGCAUGGACUCACAAGUUGUCGAAAGCGGUCUACAGGAAUGCUGGCCCAUGUUGACUCCAAUGCUUCCCACGUUUGGGUCAAGUUGGCUAGAUGUCCUUUGGGUGGUGGACCAUUCUUGAUACUAACACGGGAAACUGUUGAGUAUGAAAAACCCAGCAGCAUAGCAGUUCUUGACACACUCAAACCGGUGUGCCUGACACCUAAUACCAUACCCCGUUCAAGGGCACUUAAAUCUUUUGUCUUGCCCAUUCACCCUCUGAAUGGCACACAUACACAAUCCAUGUCUCAAUUGUCUCAAGGCUUAAAAAUCCUUCUUUAAUCUGCCUCCUCCCCUUCAUCAACACUGAUUGAAAUGGAUAUAUCAAGUGACAUCAAUAAGGGAUCAUAGCUUUCACCUGGUCAGUCAUGGAAAGAGCAGGUGUUCCUAAUGUUUUGUACACUCAGUGUAUAUCAAACAGUAUUUUGGUGAAUGGUCUGUAUAGUCAUCGUUUCUUUAUAACUUUUACAGAAACAUAUCAUUAGCCUAAGACUAACACGAGAUAAUCAGCAAAAAGUUAGGAGAAGAAUCCUGAGUGCAGGUGUAAAUUCAACACUCAUGUAGGGUCGGCAGGUCGCCUAGUAGUUAGAGCGUUGGGCCAGUAACUGAUAGGUUGCUAGAUCGAAUCCCCGAGCUGACAAGGUACAAAUCUGUCGUUCUGCCCCUGAACAAAUGCAGUUCCUAGGCCGUCAUUGUAAUUAAGCGUUUGUUCUUAACUGACUUGCCUAGUUAAAUAAAGGUUAAGUAAUGUCAUACAUGUAUACCCAUUUAAUCAUGUGUUACCCAUAAAGAAUAUAUUCUACAGGUACAUAUAUCACAUUGUGAAUAUGGCCUUGUACCAUUUUAAGAAGUAAAAAAUAAUCUGUACAUUUUGUUUUGAUAAGAGUUUUGAUCAGAGUUGCACUAAUGUGUCAUACUCUCUUGAUGUCUAUGAGGAACGAACUUAGAUCUCAAAAAGGAUGUUAUCACGUGAGCAUACUCAGCCUUGUCUUUGGAUAAUAAAAUGUCUUCUUCUGAAAUUAAA